UAAAAGACGGUCUUACGAGAAAAACCGCCUUGUUGUCACUUAAGCUUCCACGUAAAUUACUGACAUCGGCAAUAUAUAUACUCCUUUUCUUUUCAUUUUCCCAAACCCUAAUUCAUUUCCCCCUCUCUCUCCUGAAUACUGCCCCUCUCUCUCUCUCCUGAACACUGCCCCUCUCUCUCCUCUCCAUAAGCUUGACGGCGGAGCCUCUCCAUAGGCUUGACAGCGGCGCAUAAGCUUCACUCUUUCAUCUCUCCUCCAUAAGCUUGACGGCGGCGCAAGGCUUGACAGAGGCGAUGGCGGAGCUUCGAUGUCGGAGCUUCUAUGGCGGAAUAGCCGAAAUAGGAUAGCCAGGUGGUGGUUGUGAUCAAGGUGGCGCCGGUGAUUCGCCUCGUUGCAACAGCCGUCGGAGAUGGGAGAAUAAAGCGGAAUGGAACGGAGGAUCGAACGACGGUGGUGGCUGAGGUGGAUAAAGGAUGAGAGGUGAAGGAGAUCGAGAGAGUCGCGGGCCUGCUGAUGGUUGUGGUUGCGCGUCGGCGCGGAGAUGGGAGGAGAACGGAAUGAAAAGGAAUAUAUAUUGAACAGCGGUGGGCCGAUGGGAGGAGAAUCGCACCAGACUGAUGAUUCGUAGCUUGAAGCACUGUGACUGUUGUUGAUGUUGGUCGAAUAUACUGGUGUUUCGUUUUAGUUUUAGUUUUAGUUAAGAAUUGUAAUGUUUUAGUUACACUUUUUUUGGUAUUUAGUUAAGAAUAACUAUGUUUUAGUUUUAGUUAUAAUUCUGAAAUAAUGGUCUUUUUAGUGGAA
Spinacia oleracea (spinach) is the source of this 801-nucleotide long non-coding RNA. RefSeq lists it as uncharacterized. The transcript is spliced from 2 exons. NCBI's taxonomy places the organism in Eukaryota, Viridiplantae, Streptophyta, Magnoliopsida, Caryophyllales, Amaranthaceae. The record is from RefSeq and is a predicted model, not a curated record.